RNAcentral lists this long non-coding RNA (226 nucleotides) under Ananas comosus (pineapple). RNAcentral describes it as "long non-coding RNA (ACOM_LNC035424)". The record is from RNAcentral. Lineage: Eukaryota; Viridiplantae; Streptophyta; Magnoliopsida; Poales; Bromeliaceae.
UGUUAAGGAUUUUAUUAAGUUGGCGACUUUCGUGAAGUUUUGGACGGAGUCUCGAAGAGUUAGAAGACGAAUGUUAAAGAAAGAAUUGGAGUUUGGCGAUCAAAGAUCCUUGGGAUCUCAGGUAUGAUUAUAAAUAAUUUGUGGUGAGGUUUUAUUAUUAAAAGGUGUUUAGAAGACUUGGUUUCUAUUUUUGUUAAUCAAAUUAAAGUUUUCUAAAAAUCUCAGG